AUCCCAGAAGAACGGACCGCGUUACGACUGAGGAGCCACGGUCCCAAGCUUCAAUGGAAAAGAGCGUUGCUUUGCAUGUUCUUUCACCAAACCUUGUUUGAAUGGCGUGGGGUACAACGACGGCGACUAUACAUGAUUAUACAGAGCUACUCUCAUCCCACAAGUGACAUCUGCCUCCCAAGUGCUUCGCACGGAUGUCUGUUGGCCCCAAACUAGCCCUGCCUGUAUAUAUGUUGGUAAACGAGAACGACUGCUUCUGAACAUCCGAUGAAGUCUUUUGUGAAACCUCUUACGAAGACUCCUUUGUGAGGAAAGAAAUACACCAAUUUACAGUUUCACAUGACACAUAUUGCUUACUUCCUGGCUGAGAGAGAACAGACUACUCAUUCCAGACCUUUAUGAUGUGAAGGAAAAAGAACUAUGAAGUUCAAAAAUAAAACUUCUAGAAAUUUUGAUUCAAUAGAACCGAGUGUUGACAGCACACUGGAAAAAAAAGGUAAUGCAAUGCAAUUGAGUUUUCUUGCAUCUGUUUUAAAUAAUCUCUAUUGUAAUAGGCUAUACUUAUUAUACUAUACUUACGACACCAUCAGCAUCCAAGGCUGCACUCUCCACCUCUC
Molecule: long non-coding RNA, 617 nt
Organism: Callorhinchus milii (elephant shark)
Lineage: Eukaryota; Metazoa; Chordata; Chondrichthyes; Chimaeriformes; Callorhinchidae
Exons: 4
Source: RefSeq, a predicted model, not a curated record